GAAGCUUGGUCAAAAGCUUGGUUAUUAUCAUUGGAACCAGAAAGUCAGUGAAACCCAAAUGCACAACUUGAACAGAGGUCCUUUCCAGAAGUCAAGUCUUCCAAAACACCCAAAAUGGAACCACCCUCCUGCCAGCACAACUGAUUGGCCAGUUUUGUCACUCAGCCCUUGCACAGAGAAGAACAUAUUAAUCCUCUGAAUGUGAAGCUAUAGCCAACAGGUGGCAAGGCCCAUCCCUGCACAGAAGGCAGCUGCGGAGAGUGAGAAAGGGUGCCAGGAAGAAGGAGCUUCAGGUGGGAAUCUGCACAGAGCAAUUAACCUUCACCCUGAAACACACCCCACUCUAGUCCCAACACUCGUAAAGGAGACCAUGACCCUUCGGGUCACACACUCAGAACAUUCCAUAGAGCAGUAGUGCUAGAUGGACUGCCCAGGGGCCAGCUGCAGUGGGAUCCACUGAACCUUCUGGUUGACAGCAGAGAUUCCUGGACCCCACCCCAGGCCUCCAGAGUCUGAAGCUAGGGUAGUUCACCUCCCCCAUCACUUUGUCUUGCACCACCCCAUUGAUUUUCUCCUUUGCACAUAAAUCAGUAUCUGAAAUGAUAACAUCUAUUUACCGGUUUCCCGUCUUCCCGUUGCUAGUGUGCGUCCCAAAGCAACAGGGACUACAUGCUCAGAACAGUGCCGACCACACAGGAUGUGCAUCAUAAAUACCUGUUAGGUGAAUAGGUGAAUUGAGGGGAGAUGGGGAGGAGGAGAAAUGCCUGUCCUGGUGAAUAACUAAGCUGAGCUGAGCCCGGUUCCUAUGCUCUAGUAUCCUCAGGCAGCAUGAGUUGGGGUGACAGACAACAAAGAGGGAGGCUGUUCACCAUUUGGGUUGAAAAAACAGUGGAAGACUGACGAUCUU
Molecule: long non-coding RNA, 907 nt
Filed under: Felis catus (domestic cat)
Lineage: Eukaryota; Metazoa; Chordata; Mammalia; Carnivora; Felidae
Description: lncRNA (ENSFCAG00000047465.1)
Source: RNAcentral